RNAcentral lists this long non-coding RNA (3007 nucleotides) under Lupinus angustifolius (narrow-leaved blue lupine). RNAcentral describes it as "long non-coding RNA (LANG_LNC001242)". Lineage: Eukaryota; Viridiplantae; Streptophyta; Magnoliopsida; Fabales; Fabaceae. The record is from RNAcentral.
ACCAUUCAUGGAAGUUCCAGAUCCACCUGAUAAUGAGGCAGUAGGACGUGGAGGCCAAUCAGCAAAAGGAUCACCACCUUGAAGGUUAGAUGUGGAUAAGGUUCCUGUUGCUACCGUAUGCUUUUCAGCAUGACCAUACUGCAGGGUGACACCAACAGGUGCACGAGGUGGCCACUCUAAAUCCACGGAGGGGCAUGAUUUGGUAGCCUGCUGAUUAGAUACACCAGAUAACGACACAUGGUUUUGUAAAGAUGUUACUUGACCAACAGGGUUGCCUGGCACAGAUUGAUUGGUUGUAUGAAUAGAAUUCUGGACAGAAGUGGCAGUACCCUUUGUUGCAGGCCCCCAAUCUUCAUCCCAAGAGGCACUAUUUUUUGCUGAAGCGACAGUGCUGUUUCUUGUCCCAGGGGCUUCAUUUUGAAGUCCAUUAACCGCAGGAGACAUUUGUACCUUUGGGAUUCCAGAAUCUGUCACAGCUACUCCUCGCUUCUCUUCUAUCUUCCUGUAUGAACAACACUUAAGAAAUUAAUUCAAAGAGAGGGUUUGGGAGGGGGAGAUAGAGGUAAUGACAAAAGACAGGGUGUAAUAAGAAAAUUACUGGAGCAUGUCCUUGACGAAGAGCAUAUAUUUUGCAAACUGCUGGACAUUCAGUUGUUGAGCGGUCAGGAGGGGCAUAAGAUUCAAACCAUAUUUACUCCAUCAAAACUACUUCUAGCAAACAUCAAAACAUACAUCAAUUAUCACAAACUUUCUUUCAAUCGAAUGAAGUUGCAAAACCCAGUUUUACACAUAGUUACAGAUGAGCACUAACCAUUAUCAACUGUUCUGCUAUGCUGAAGAUUGGACUACAAAUUUAGGCUUUUAGAAUCCCAAAUAUUGUUGAAUCGAUCAAAUUGAAUUAGGUAGCUUGAAUCAGUGAAGUUAUUGUUAGGUUUCCAACAAUCUUGCUUCUGUAACUUAUAAAUUCCAAUCAAGUUUUAAUGGUAAUUUUUUUAAUUUUUAGAUGACUGUAUAAAGCUUUAAGCGGCUGAGUGCUCCACCUCUAAAUUCCAAAACAAUCCAAGAUGACGAGAUAAUUUAAAAAUCACAUAUUUUAGACAUCAAAUGUUGAAAACAUCAACCAUGCAUUGCUCCAGUGUUUGAUAACUCCAGUCUUUGAUAGCAGCAAACACUUGAAUUUAUGCAUUGUGUCAAUUCAAGUGCGCCACACUCAAUUUGAUAACAGAGAAUUUUCUUACAUAUACUCCUUAACCCGGAGAAAAUAUUAUCAUGAUUAAAUUAAUGAUACGGUCUAUAAAAUUAGAAACUAGAAUUCCUCUUACAGUGCUCCAAUUGUUGGGAAACCAACCAGCGUGCAAGUUCUAGCAACAUUUUAAUGAUAACACCAAAAUAGGUGUCUUUAAGAAAACAACCAUGCCAGCUAAAAUCUAGUGUCCGAACACAUUCUUUGACCAAUGUGCUUCCACGAUAUUUAUGGGUUUCCUAUGAACACAGAAACUAAAAAUAAUAUUUGUUCUUUUAGCCGAAUGUGUUCAAAUAUGAAUUAAAAGACAAGUUUAAAAGAUGAAUUAAAAAAUACUUCAGAGUUCAAAUAUUUGCUCUCUUUUGCUUUAAUGUAUACAAGUUGACAAUUAUUUUACAAGUGGCUAAAUCAUUUUUUCUUAAAGUGGCUUGAUCACUUUUAUGCAAUAUCUUGUAGAAUUUACAUUUACUCAGCUUAGAUUAGAAGACAAAAAAAUACGCAACUUAUUCACUCCCAAGUGCUGACUCCGUAUCCUAUGCCAUAGGGGGGAAGUAACAUUAUAUAAGUACUUACAGUUACAAAAAGGCUGAAGUCAACUUUAAUAGUGACAAAACAGAACCUUUCCAUUUUGAUUCCAACAGUUGAACGCAAUAAAAGGCAAGAUAGAAAUAAAUAGAUGAUUCUUCACCCCCACGGUCUUUCCUCAACCUUCAAAUCGUGGAAUUCAAAUCAUUCCUUCAGGAGAAACAUCAUAGUUUUGCCUUUAUUAUUUUCAACCCAGUCACAGUUACCAGGACUUCUAUGAAUACACUUUGCCUGAUGUGCUAAGGAUAAAAAUUAAAAAAUUAAACCAAACUUUUGCAAGAUCACUAUAGGCUAAACAUAUAACAAAACCUUUACAUAGUGUAGCGGUCCCUUACAGCAAAUGUUGUCUGGCAAUAUUUUCUGUAAUCUCUCCCUUCGCAAUAAAUGAAUCCAAACACACGCCAUAGGAUGGAUGUUACAAAAAUAUACAAUCUCAGCAGUAACUCAUCACCCUGAUACACUUGAACAGUGAUAAAAAGGAAGCUACCCCAACAAAUCCAUAAGGGGUGGUUGCUCAGAAUGUGACUUGGUAUUAGAGGACCGGGUGGUUGAGCCAGCUCCCCUCCCUCUUCCUCUUCCUCUACCCACUGUGGUUGAAGGUGGUGGUGCGAGUUUGGGUGCAAUCUGUUCAUUCUUGUUGGAAGCAAAGAUUGAUCCAAGAUCUGUUGAGUUGACGCUAUUAUAUGAACCAUUUGAUGAUGGAAACUGGUGACCCUGUUUGACAGAUGCAAGAGAAUUUGAAGGUUUGAGACCAAUAUUCAGGUUACCGGUGGUUGAACUACCAUUCCCUUGGUUGAAACUGAGAGACUGUGCAGAACUUUGAGAAUUAACAGACCAAUUGUUGCUGGGUUGGAGACUGAUAUUGUUUGAAGUGCUAGUCAUUGAAUUAAACCCAGAGUUGUUUAGUGGCAUUAAAAAAUUACCAUUCAUGGAAGUUCCAGAUCCACCUGAUAAUGAGGCAGUAGGACGUGGAGGCCAAUCAGCAAAAGGAUCACCACCUUGAAGGUUAGAUGUGGAUAAGGUUCCUGUUGCUACCGUAUGCUUUUCAGCAUGACCAUACUGCAGGGUGACACCAACAGGUGCACGAGGUGGCCACUCUAAAUCCACGGAGGGGCAUGAUUUGGUAGCCUGCUGAUUAGAUACACCAGAUAACGACACAUGGUUUUGUAAAGAUGUUAC